AUUGAACGCUGGCGGCAUGCCUUACACAUGCAAGUCGAACGGUAACGGGCCUUCGGGUGCCGACGAGUGGCGAACGGGUGAGUAAUGUAUCGGAACGUACCUUUCAGUGGGGGAUAACGUAGCGAAAGUUACGCUAAUACCGCAUAUUCUGUGAGCAGGAAAGCAGGGGAUCGCAAGACCUUGCGCUGAUUGAGCGGCCGAUAUCAGAUUAGCUAGUUGGUGAGGUAAAGGCUCACCAAGGCGACGAUCAGUAGCUGGUCUGAGAGGAUGAUCAGCCACACUGGGACUGAGACACGGCCCAGACUCCUACGGGAGGCAGCAGUGGGGAAUAUUGGACAAUGGGCGCAAGCCUGAUCCAGCCAUGCCGCGUGAGUGAUGACGGCCUUAGGGUUGUAAAGCUCUUUACCUGGGAAAUAAUGACGGUACCAGGAGAAUAAGCCCCGGCUAACUUCGUGCCAGCAGCCGCGGUAAAAU
Molecule: ribosomal RNA, 474 nt
Filed under: uncultured bacterium
Lineage: Bacteria
Description: bacterial SSU rRNA
Rfam family: Bacterial small subunit ribosomal RNA
Source: RNAcentral